This 759-nucleotide ribosomal RNA is filed under the name uncultured Enterobacteriaceae bacterium. RNAcentral describes it as "bacterial SSU rRNA". It matches the Rfam family "Bacterial small subunit ribosomal RNA", at positions 28 to 776 of the family's 1533-position model. Lineage: Bacteria; Pseudomonadati; Pseudomonadota; Gammaproteobacteria; Enterobacterales; Enterobacteriaceae. The record is from RNAcentral.
AUUGAACGCUGGCGGCAGGCCUAACACAUGCAAGUCGAGCGGCAGCGGAAAGUAGCUUGCUACUUUGCCGGCGAGCGGCGGACGGGUGAGUAAUGUCUGGGAAACUGCCUGAUGGAGGGGGAUAACUACUGGAAACGGUAGCUAAUACCGCAUGACCUCGAAAGAGCAAAGUGGGGGAUCUUCGGACCUCACGCCAUCGGAUGUGCCCAGAUGGGAUUAGCUAGUAGGUGAGGUAAUGGCUCACCUAGGCGACGAUCCCUAGCUGGUCUGAGAGGAUGACCAGCCACACUGGAACUGAGACACGGUCCAGACUCCUACGGGAGGCAGCAGUGGGGAAUAUUGCACAAUGGGCGCAAGCCUGAUGCAGCCAUGCCGCGUGUGUGAAGAGGGCCUUAGGGUUGUAAAGCACUUUCAGCGAGGAGGAAGGCAUCAUACUUAAUACGUGUGGUGAUUGACGUUACUCGCAGAAGAAGCACCGGCUAACUCCGUGCCAGCAGCCGCGGUAAUACGGAGGGUGCAAGCGUUAAUCGGAAUUACUGGGCGUAAAGCGCACGCAGGCGGUUUGUUAAGUCAGAUGUGAAAUCCCCGCGCUUAACGUGGGAACUGCAUUUGAAACUGGCAAGCUAGAGUCUUGUAGAGGGGGGUAGAAUUCCAGGUGUAGCGGUGAAAUGCGUAGAGAUCUGGAGGAAUACCGGUGGCGAAGGCGGCCCCCUGGACAAAGACUGACGCUCAGGUGCGAAAGCGUGGGGAGCAAACAGG